UUUCCGUAGGUGAACCUGCGGGAGGAUCAUUAUCGAGUUUUGACUGGGGUGUAGCUGGCCUUCCGAGGCAUGUGCACGCCCUGCUCAUCACUCUACACCUGUGCACUUACUGUGGGUAUCAGAUCGUGAAGCGUGCUCUUUUACCGGAGCUUGUGAAGCGUGUCUGUGCCUGCGUUUAUCACAAAAACUAUAAAGUAUCAGAAUGUGUAUUACGAUGUAACGCAUCUAUAUGCAACUUUCAGCAACGGAUCUCUUGGCUCUC
Molecule: unclassified non-coding RNA, 262 nt
Filed under: plant metagenome
Description: partial contains small subunit ribosomal RNA, internal transcribed spacer 1, and 5.8S ribosomal RNA
Source: RNAcentral